This 877-nucleotide long non-coding RNA is filed under the name Pectinophora gossypiella (pink bollworm). RNAcentral describes it as "uncharacterized LOC126368523". The record is from RNAcentral. Lineage: Eukaryota; Metazoa; Arthropoda; Insecta; Lepidoptera; Gelechiidae.
UAACUUCAACCCAAAUUCUGUCGCAUCUAUAAUAAAAUACAAUAAUUAACUUAAUUUUAUUGAAUAAAAAGCCCAAAACUGAUAAAUUCCUCACAAAGUAAACGGUCAAGAGAUGUUGAGACAAUCUAAACUUGUAACAUAAAGAGGAAUUUAUUUAUAUAUCCACUACUAUUACUUUGAGAUUAUUUUGUUGAAUACGAAAUGAGUUGAGAGCAUUUAGUUCUGACGAUCAAGAAGGAAUAUCACACAGGAUUCAUCAUCAUGCAAAUGUUGAGGUUAUGCUGCUCUACAUCAUACGUACUAAAGAAAUAAAUAAAAAGAAUUAACGAAAAUAAAAUAAGUGUGAGAGUAGAAUCCGUGACGCCAACUAAAGUAAUACAUGAACAGUGUCUUCACCUAUAAUUAAUAAAUAAUGUACUAGUGGAAAUGAGACGUUGGUUUUUAUAAUUGGAAGUGGAAUUUUAUAAUUAUUUUCGAUUCAUCAUCAUCAUCAGCCCAUUAACGUUCCCACUGCUGGAGCACGGGCCUUCCCUACAGAGUGAUAGGGAGAUCGGGCAAUAAACCAUCACGCGGGCCCAGUGCAGAUUGAUGGUUAUUAUCAACUGCUAAUGCAGCCGGGACCAAUGGCUUAACAUGCCUUCCGAAGCACAGAGGAGCUCGAGAUGAAAACUUUUUUUUUUGUGGUUCGAUUAUGUUGAAUAAAUUAAUCUUUAAUCUCAAACAUCUUUUUUAAAUACUCUCCCAGUAAUAAUUUUUGGGUAGUGACAAGAAUUGAGAAAAGUAUACUGCAAUAUAUUAUAAUAGUUUAAACAUAUCAAAAGAAUGAAUGAAUAUCAACAGAGUUUUUAAACAAAUGCCAAAAUGUACAAACUACAAA